UACAGAGGUCCCGAGCGUUGUUCGGAUUCAUUGGGCGUAAAGGGUGCGUAGGCGGCGGAGCAAGUCUGAUGUGAAAUCCCGGGGCUCAACCCCGGAACUGCAUUGGAUACUGCUUUGCUAGAGUACUGGAGAGGGAACUGGAAUUUACGGUGUAGCAGUGAAAUGCGUAGAGAUCGUAAGGAACACCAGUGGCGAAGGCGAGUCCCUGGACGAUACCUGACACUGAGGCACGAAAGCCAAGGGAGCAAACAGG
RNAcentral lists this ribosomal RNA (253 nucleotides) under uncultured bacterium. Its description in RNAcentral is "partial 16S ribosomal RNA". It matches the Rfam family "Bacterial small subunit ribosomal RNA", at positions 524 to 776 of the family's 1533-position model. The record is from RNAcentral.